GAUGAACGCUGGCGGCGUGCUUAACACAUGCAAGUCGAACGGUGAAGCAGGAGCUUGCUCUUGUGGAUCAGUGGCGAACGGGUGAGUAACACGUGAGCAACCUGCCCCUGACUCUGGAAGAAGCGCUGGAAACGGCGUCUAAUACUGGAUAUGUGAUGUGACCGCAUGGUCUGCAUCUGGAAAGAAUUUCGGUUGGGGAUGGGCUCGCGGCCUAUCAGCUUGUUGGUGAGGUAAUGGCUCACCAAGGCGUCGACGGGUAGCCGGCCUGAGAGGGUGACCGGCCACACUGGGACUGAGACACGGCCCAGACUCCUACGGGAGGCAGCAGUGGGGAAUAUUGCACAAUGGGCGGAAGCCUGAUGCAGCAACGCCGCGUGAGGGAUGACGGCCUUCGGGUUGUAAACUUCUUUUAGCAGGGAAGAAGCGAAAGUGACGGUACCUGCAGAAAAAGCACCGGCUAACUACGUGCCAGCCGCCGCCGUAA
Molecule: ribosomal RNA, 484 nt
Filed under: uncultured bacterium
Lineage: Bacteria
Description: partial 16S ribosomal RNA
Rfam family: Bacterial small subunit ribosomal RNA
Source: RNAcentral